RNAcentral lists this long non-coding RNA (340 nucleotides) under Ananas comosus (pineapple). Its description in RNAcentral is "long non-coding RNA (ACOM_LNC008155)". The record is from RNAcentral. Lineage: Eukaryota; Viridiplantae; Streptophyta; Magnoliopsida; Poales; Bromeliaceae.
UCCGAUAGAUUGUUUAGAUUGAGAAGAAUAAUAUAAUUUGUAGAGCGAAAUCUACCGUUCCCUCUUAGUCGCUUGAACGUGUCAGACUACUGAUAAUUGCGUGGAAAGAAUUCUGCCAAUUGUUCGGAUUACCAAUUUCUUAUCUUUCACCACUUUUUAUUUUGUUUUAUUAUAUGUUCUUUUUUUCUUUUAGAGACCGUGGCUGCUUCUAUCUUAAUUAUUAUGAAUGAGAUAAGUACGUACGAUGAUAUAAUAGAUCGUGAAAUUUUUCUAUAAUAAUACGUAAAAUUGUAAGAAAUUUGUGCUUCUUAUAAAAAUUUAUUAUGGAGAUCAUGAUAUU